GGCUUCGUAGGCCAAAGUUAGAUCUAAGCGACGGUUUCCUAAACCGUAGGUCGGAAGUUCGAGUCUUCCCGGGAUCGCCA
This 80-nucleotide transfer RNA is filed under the name Bradyrhizobium pachyrhizi. RNAcentral describes it as "tRNA-Arg". It matches the Rfam family "tRNA". Rfam says of the family: Transfer RNA (tRNA) molecules are approximately 80 nucleotides in length. Their secondary structure includes four short double-helical elements and three loops (D, anti-codon, and T loops). Further hydrogen bonds mediate the characteristic L-shaped molecular structure. tRNAs have two regions of fundamental functional importance: the anti-codon, which is responsible for specific mRNA codon recognition, and the 3' end, to which the tRNAs corresponding amino acid is attached (by aminoacyl-tRNA synthetases). tRNAs cope with the degeneracy of the genetic code in two manners: having more than one tRNA (with a specific anti-codon) for a particular amino acid; and 'wobble' base-pairing, i.e. permitting non-standard base-pairing at the 3rd anti-codon position. The record is from RNAcentral. Lineage: Bacteria; Pseudomonadati; Pseudomonadota; Alphaproteobacteria; Hyphomicrobiales; Nitrobacteraceae.